Molecule: ribosomal RNA, 485 nt
Filed under: uncultured bacterium
Lineage: Bacteria
Description: partial 16S ribosomal RNA
Rfam family: Bacterial small subunit ribosomal RNA
Source: RNAcentral
GUAGGGAAUCUUCCACAAUGGACGAAAGUCUGAUGGAGCAACGCCGCGUGAGUGAAGAAGGUUUUCGGAUCGUAAAGCUCUGUUGUUGGUGAAGAAGGAUAGAGGCAGUAACUGGUCUUUAUUUGACAGUAAUCAACCAGAAAGUCACGGCUAACUACGUGCCAGCAGCCGCGGUAAUACGUAGGUGGCAAGCGUUGUCCGGAUUUAUUGGGCGUAAAGCGAGCGCAGGCGGAAUGAUAAGUCUGAUGUGAAAGCCCACGGCUCAACCGUGGAACUGCAUCGGAAACUGUCAUUCUUGAGUGCAGAAGAGGAGAGUGGAACUCCAUGUGUAGCGGUGGAAUGCGUAGAUAUAUGGAAGAACACCAGUGGCGAGGGCGGCUCUCUGGUCUGCAACUGACGCUGAGGCUCGAAAGCAUGGGUAGCGAACAGGAUUAGAUACCCUGGUAGUCCAUGCCGUAAACGAUGAGCGCUAGGUGUUGGGGACU